RNAcentral lists this long non-coding RNA (218 nucleotides) under Ananas comosus (pineapple). Its description in RNAcentral is "long non-coding RNA (ACOM_LNC005256)". The record is from RNAcentral. Lineage: Eukaryota; Viridiplantae; Streptophyta; Magnoliopsida; Poales; Bromeliaceae.
AAGGGGGAGAUUGUUAAAAACUUUUCUAAGUUGGCGGAUUUCGUGAAGUCGAAUGAAGUCUUGAAAAGUUGAAGACGAAGAUUUGAACGAAGAAUGUGUGAUUCAAAAUCAAAAGACUCGUUCGUGAUGCUCGAUAUCUCAUGUAUGUGUGUUAAUAAUUUGUGGUGAAAAAUUCUAUACAUUUAAUAGUGUUUGGAAGACUUAUAUAGUUUUUAAAU